This 86-nucleotide transfer RNA is filed under the name Thermoplasmata archaeon. RNAcentral's name for it is "tRNA-Ser". It matches the Rfam family "tRNA". From Rfam's summary of the family: Transfer RNA (tRNA) molecules are approximately 80 nucleotides in length. Their secondary structure includes four short double-helical elements and three loops (D, anti-codon, and T loops). RNAcentral also lists the same sequence under 1 other name. Lineage: Archaea; Methanobacteriati; Thermoplasmatota; Thermoplasmata. The record is from RNAcentral.
GGAGAGGUGCGAGAGUGGUCGAAUCGGCACGACUGGAAAUCGUGUGUACCCUUGUGGUACCGUGGGUUCGAAUCCCACCCUCUCCG